UACGUAGGGGGCAAGCGUUGUCCGGAAUCAUUGGGCGUAAAGCGCGUAUAGGCGGCUCGAUAAGUCUGCUGUGAAAGUUCAGGGCUCAACCCUGAAAUGCCGGUGGAAACUGUCGGGCUAGAGUCCGGAAGAGGCGAGUGGAAUUCCUGGUGUAGCGGUGAAAUGCGCAGAUAUCAGGAGGAACACCAAUGGCGAAGGCAGCUCGCUGGGACGGUACUGACGCUGAGACGCGAAAGCGUGGGGAGCAAACAGG
Molecule: ribosomal RNA, 253 nt
Filed under: uncultured bacterium
Lineage: Bacteria
Description: partial 16S ribosomal RNA
Rfam family: Bacterial small subunit ribosomal RNA
Source: RNAcentral